GGAUACCUAAAUACAAGUUAGUCCAACACAAAUAUGUGAAUUCUCUCUCCUUUCUUCAAUGACGUGGCAAGGGUUUUAGGAGAGACUUUUUUAGGUCAAAAAUUAUUUCCAUUCUCCAUGGAUGGAGGCGCUAAUCCUCCAUCAAUCCAAUGAGAAAUUAUUCAUAAUUCAUCUUCUAGUGCAAAUCCCAGUACUGGAUUGAAUAUUUUCCUUUAUUACCUCAUUCAAAGCUCCAUCUUUUAUUUUAGGGGUUUCAAAUCCUGGAUCUGCUGGUAACCUAAAUCGGAAAUCUUGUCUCAAUAAUCAAGCUAGAACGACAGCAUCAACAACACUUGUUUUUGAUGGAUCGAAAUGGAGAUCCAAUUGUUUUGUUUUCUUAGAUGAGCUAUAACCACAUAUUAAAUUCAAUGAAUCUUUAGUAUUGGGGUACGUUAUGGGUAAGAGGCCAGAUUUCACCUUUGUGAAAGAGAAAUUAACGGCUCAGUGGAAAAGAAAGGGAUAUUUUGAGAUGACAAUCUAUGCAGAGCAAGAUUUCAUGUUCAAAUUUUCUCAGAAGAGGAUUAAACAAGGAUCCUAAAAAUGGGUUAUCUUUUUAUUGCAAGUAAGUUAUUCUUAACCAUGGUCUCCAUUUAUUGAACAACAUAUUGGUGCAAUUAAAUUUGUCCCAAUUUGGUUGUUAAUUAGAGAUUUACCAUUUCAUCUUUGGAACCCUACUGGAUUUACGAGGAUUUGUAGUCUUGUAGGAACACCAAUUAUGACUGAUCCCCUAAUGCAAUGAAGACUACAAUGUCUUUUGCGAGGGUUUGUGUUAAAAUUGAUUCUACUUGCACCUUUCCUGCUGAUCUACCCUAUCAAAUCGAUGAUAAAGAAAAGUAUAAGGUAUGGGUUGAAUAUCCAUGGAAACCUACUCUAUGUACUCUUUGCAAGAGCUUUGGGCACUUAAGUGCUAAGUGCGGAUCCAAUCCAGCGCCUAGGGACAAGAAAAAUGGAUGCGUAAAUUCACUAAAAAAGUGUUGCUCUAACUCAAAUGGCAUUUUUCAAGUUGUAAGGGGAGAUAAGAAAGUGCAAGUCUCCACAUUGAUAUUUCAAAGCCAAUUGUUGAUCAAAUUGAGCAAGAAGACAAUUACCAAAUUAAAAAUCCUUUCAAACCAUUCCACUGAAGUUGAAGUCGAGAAGGAGAUCAGGAAUGAGGAUUUUCCUCAAUUUCCAAAUUGAGGUUGUACUGUAUGCACUAAAAAGAAGAAACCCAAAAAUCAAAGUGGUGGGACGUCUUGUCAUUUGAACCCUUUAGCUUUAGUCCAUGAAGUUGUAUUGAAUGAGAAUCCAUUAUUUAUUCCGGAAGAAGUUGAGGUUAGAACAAAGGAUGAUAAUGCUGAAGAUCAAGAUCAAGAAAAAGAAAAAGCUGCAAGGUAGACGACUGAUGAUCUGAAUAUGAGACAGAUUCUGAAACCAUGGGAAUGGAGAUUAGAGAACGUGCGAAGGUGAAAGCUAUUGACUAUAAUCCUCGGAAAGACCCUUAACCAAUUUUCAACAAUUGGACAAUCUGUUGAUGAUGACUAACUCUCUAAGAGUGACUAAGGGACCUAUGGAGAACAAAGCCAAAGGCAUCCUUUAUGAGAUAACAAUGAAACAUGGAAAGCAAAAAAAAAACACUAGAGCAGAUGAAAUGGAAAGGGGUAGACUUGAAGUAGAUCUAGUAAUUUUUCAUUUGAUGUGAUGAAGAUGUACUGAUAGAUAUGAUUUCUGAGUUUUAUAAGGAUGUAGGAUACAAAUAUUGUCUAAAUCUUAACAUAGAUAAUGUUUUUAGGAAUCAGAAUUGUAGGGUAUUGAAAUGUCAUUGAUACCUGAUAAGAAAUGAAUAAAAUGUAGUCGUAAAUCUGAGCAGUACAUAGAAGGUGUCACAGUUUGCUAGUGAAAAAGGCAGUGCAAAUGUGUUAUUCUCAUGCCCUUGUGGUUGCUGUAAGAACAUUAAAGGAUUGGAGACACUUACUGAGAUUUCGUAUCAUUUGCUGAAAGAACGGUAAAGGAUUACAUUCUGCAAGAAUGAAGAAGAAGAGAAAUCAAAAGAACGGAGAGAUGAAAAUAAGAGAAAAGGAAACAAUAUGAAUACUCUCAUACCUCUGGUCGUUAAUCUCAUUCUUUCGUUAUAGCUGAACUGAUAUAUAUAAUUAUUUCAUAUGUUUUCUCAAUUAUGAAUCUCAACACUUAUGGACAAUGUGACUACUCUCAUACUUCUGUAUAUUUUUUUAAUGUUAAUUGGCUUGUCAAAUUUGAAAACUUCGAAGCACGAGAAUCUUGGAGUGGAAGUCACUAUCUCUGAUCUGUGGAUUAUAGUUCAUACUAAAGAGGGUGGGAAAAUUCUACCUAGCGCGCAGCAAUACUUUGUCAGUCAGGAGGAUCUUUAUAAGGCGCAAGAAGAGAUCUAGGAAAAACAAGCUGCGGGUAUUUCUGUAGGAGUAUUUGAUACAUUGACUACAGUUUUUGGAUAGGAUUCUAAAGGACGGGUUUGUGUUGUUGGUCCUGUUUCCCGUACAUAAUUUAUUUAUUAUGGUCCUGCACGUGCUAAAGUUCAAAAAAUGAAGUCUAAGGAUGAAGGUAGUAAGCAUCAGGCUCAAAGGCUUUGGAAUGUUAUGCCAUAUUGUGAAGGAUAUCCAAUCUGUAAUUCCACCAUAAUUUGUUAUCUCGAACAUCAUGGACAGUUCACCUGCUGAAGCUGCUUCUGUUGUUAAUACAAGUUAACCUAGCCAGCACCUUCACCUGCUCAGCCAAUAUCACCAGCUCGAUCAGCAGUAGGUGAUGACAUGCAGGAGUGUUCAUUGUUGAACAUGGAUGGUGAAACCGUUGUUGUCGGUAAAAUUUUCACAUGUGAAUUAGAGGAGAUGACUCAUGGCUCACCUGUACUGCCUCAUCUUGCGAAAAUGUUGCUGGAUGACAUUCUCAUGCCAUUUGAGAAGACCAUAUAUGGAUUUUAGAGAUGUUGGAAUCGGAGGAUUUGUGGUGCAUCCAAGGAUGUGCAUCAAAUUUGAUUAGCUAAUCAAUCUAAUUUUUUGGAUAUGAUAUGAAACUAUUCAUUGAUAUCUCAUUCAUCAUGCAUCGCGGUUAUAAAUGACUAACAUAUAUGGAUUUUACCUUUUUUUUUCUUCUUAUGUUCACACUUUUGUACAUGUGCUUAACAUGCUAACAUGUAAAUUCUUUUGCAGUUGUGCAUUAGAAUGUCUCGUUUGCAAUUAUUCUUUGAAAGACUUUUAUGCAGUUGUGUAUAAGAAAUAUUUAGCUUUACCUGAUGUAAUUAUGUGAACAGGAAUCUGAAUUCUAUGAAUCAAGUUUUAUGAUA
This is a long non-coding RNA of Papaver somniferum (opium poppy), 3334 nucleotides long. RefSeq lists it as uncharacterized. NCBI's taxonomy places the organism in Eukaryota, Viridiplantae, Streptophyta, Magnoliopsida, Ranunculales, Papaveraceae. The transcript is spliced from 2 exons. The record is from RefSeq and is a predicted model, not a curated record.